UUCGGCAGCAUGAACUGCGAUAGAUGAACCAGGCUGUGCACUGGAGGCAGCCGCCGAGGACCCAGCCAGUAGCCGGAGACAGUGACAGAGUCAUGAUUGAGGGGAAGGGGAACUAACUCCGGCGUCAGAGCAGAGAACACUUCCACACCCAGCAGAAGACUCGGUUUUGGAACACAUCAGGCUGAUAGGACUCUUAUGCACCGUAAUGUCAUUGCUGGAUAUUCUGUAGAGCCAAAUGUGAUGUGAACGCUGACUAAAAAAGGCAGAUGGUGUUUAACCACACACAGUGUUAUGGAAGAAAAGCAGUGGCUGGUUGAGACCAAGAAUCCAAACAUUAUGCCAAUUGGGGGAAGAGGCCAGUCUGUAUUUAGACACGUACAAAUGUUCAUUUUCAGAAGAAGAAAGAAGAAAGAAUGGCUUGUUAUGCACAACCAUCCAAAAAUUUGCCAUUAACGGAGGCAGAAUGCCUAGCUGUAUUUAUACAUGUCACACACAAGUGUUCAUUGUCAAAAGAGUGGCUUGUUCUGAACAAGUGUCCAAAAUGUAGGCCUUAAUGGGGGUGGAAUGCCUACCAUACAUAGCACGCAUAAGUGUUAAUUGUCAGAAGAGUGGUUUGACAUAUAUAAGCAUCCAAAAAUUAUGCAUUAAGAGGGGGAAAAUACCCUGUCCAUAUUUUUAUAUGCAAAUUUUCAAAAACAGCAGUUUUAAUUGUCAGAAGAAAGAGUGGCUUGUCCUAUACAAGCCUGAUUUUAUUUUUCCUUUUAACUAGGAGCAGCAGCCGUACAGUGUGUAUGUGGAAGAAUAGAGUAAUUAUGGCAUGCAGCCUCAAUAGUAGCAGCAGCAGUAGCAGCAUAGUAUGUAGCAGGCAAGGCAGUAGAUGCGUGCAGCAGUAUAUAUGUGUAGUAGUGUUGGCUGUGUAAGGGUAGUGGUACUGGCAGUAGAGGAAAAUAGAAGUGUCAGUAGAGGAUUAGCAACAGGAAAUUGCAGCUGCAGCAGUGACUACAGCAGCAGCAGCAGCCAUACGGUACAAAACAUGAUGGUAGACAGGCAGACAGCACAUUGGCAUAAUGGGGUACUCUCAGCAAAGGUACAACCACAUAUCACAUUCAUGUUGUGGUCAUGGUGCGGUUAGGUAAUGCAUGUGGCCGACCACUUGCUCUUACUGCAUGUAUAAUAAUGCUUUUCGGGUACGGUUUUUAUCCGUGAAUAUUUGUGAACAGUUUUUUGAACAGUUGUGAAUUUUUGUGGUUCUUUAGCUAUCUGAUUAAAAUGUAAUAAUAUAUAUAGUAAAAUAUAUUAAACAUAUCCUGCAAGCCAAAAGUGGGUAGGCAUGUUUUACAUGUAGCAGGUGCAG
Long non-coding RNA from Bufo gargarizans (Asiatic toad), 1354 nucleotides. RefSeq lists it as uncharacterized. The record is from RefSeq and is a predicted model, not a curated record. The transcript has 3 exons. NCBI's taxonomy places the organism in Eukaryota, Metazoa, Chordata, Amphibia, Anura, Bufonidae.